UACGGGGGGAACAAGCGUUGUUCGGAUUUACUGGGCGUAAAGGGCGCGUAGGCGGCCUUCUAAGUCGAACGUGAAAUCCCUGGGCUCAACCCAGGAACUGCGUCCGAGACUGGGAGGCUAGAAUCCGGGAGAGGGAUGUGGAAUUCCAGGUGUAGCGGUGAAAUGCGUAGAUAUCUGGAGGAACAUCGGUGGCGAAGGCGGCAUCCUGGACCGGUAUUGACGCUGAGGCGCGAAAGCCAGGGGAGCAAACGGG
RNAcentral lists this ribosomal RNA (253 nucleotides) under uncultured bacterium. Its description in RNAcentral is "partial 16S ribosomal RNA". It matches the Rfam family "Bacterial small subunit ribosomal RNA", at positions 524 to 776 of the family's 1533-position model. The record is from RNAcentral.